RNAcentral lists this ribosomal RNA (253 nucleotides) under uncultured bacterium. Its description in RNAcentral is "partial 16S ribosomal RNA". It matches the Rfam family "Bacterial small subunit ribosomal RNA", at positions 524 to 776 of the family's 1533-position model. The record is from RNAcentral.
UACGAAGGGGGCUAGCGUUGUUCGGAAUUACUGGGCGUAAAGCGCGCGCAGGCGGUCUUCCAAGUCAGUGGUGAAAGCCCGGAGCUCAACUCCGGAACUGCCAUUGAAACUGUGAGACUUGAGGAUGAGAGAGGUGAGUGGAAUUCCCAGUGUAGAGGUGAAAUUCGUGGAUAUUGGGAAGAACACCGGUGGCGAAGGCGGCUCACUGGCUCAUUUCUGACGCUCAGGCGCGACAGCGUGGGGAUCAAACAGG